CAAACUUUCAUUGCAAAACAACCGUCAUGGCUUCUUCUUCUCCACCAUCAAAAUACUUCUCCCUUGUGGUUUUGGUGCUUUGUUUUAUUGUUGGCUCUUUGGUGGCUGUUGCCUCUGCUGGUAAUUUCAAUCAAGAUUUUGAGAUUACAUGGGGUGAUGGCAGAGGUAAGAUUUUAAACAACAACGAGCUUCUUAUGCUGUCUCUUGAUAAAGGCUCAGGCUCAGGAUUUCAAUCCACAAAUGAGUAUCUGUUUGGCAAGAUUGAUAUGCAGCUUAAGCUUGUCCCUGGAAACUCUGUUGGCACUGUCACUGCCUACUAUUUGGCCUCAAAAGGAUUAACAUGGGAUGAGAUUGAUUUUGAGUUCUUGGGGAACCUAAGUGGUGAUCCUUACAUCCUUCACACCAAUGUGUAUAGCCAAGGCAAGGGCAACAGAGAGCAACAGUUCUACCUCUGGUUUGACCCAACUGCUGAUUUCCACACAUAUUCAAUCCUUUGGAACUCGCAACGCAUUGUGUAAGUAGCCGCCAACAUGACUUUGCACUCAAAUCAUUUACUUCAAGAGUAUUUUCUUAGUCCUCCAGAGGGUAUUAAAAUGGUUGUGUUUUUCUUUUCUAUGUCAGCUUCUAGGGGUGGUCUGGUUAAGACAGACUGGACCAAAGCUCCUUUCACCGCCUUCUACAGGAACUUCAAUGCCAUUAAUGCCUGCGUAUGGUCCUCUGGGGCAUCUUCUUGCACUUCAAAGUCUCCAUCUUCAACUAGCUCAGCUGGAAAUACAUGGCUUUCUCAAGAGUUUGAUUUGGCAAGUCAGGAGAAACUGAAAUGGGUGCAAAGAAACUACAUGAUUUACAAUUACUGCAAAGACACCAGGAGAUUUCCCCAAGACUUUCCUCAAGAAUGCGCACUACUGUCUUGAGAAACUGAGAAGAGAGACUUUGAUCGAUCCUUUUUUCUGCUU
Molecule: non-coding RNA, 956 nt
Organism: Prunus avium (sweet cherry)
Lineage: Eukaryota; Viridiplantae; Streptophyta; Magnoliopsida; Rosales; Rosaceae
Source: RefSeq, a predicted model, not a curated record